CCAAGUAGAAAGUGGCAGUUAAUAUUUGAACCCAAGUACUUUGUCUCCAAAUCAGCAUCCUUUCUACAAGACCCAGUACUAAGAAUCAUCCACUUGUUAGAUCAUCUAUGAAUAGAUAAUGUAGAUAACAUUCUCCCUGGAAUUCUGCUAAAUUCUUUCAUGAGAUUCUUUAAGAGCUUGGAAUUUGACCACAUAAGACCACUGGUAUAGAAUUCAAAUCAAGAUUUCAAACUGGAAGAGACCUUAAAGUGAUCUAGUUCUUUUUUUUUUUUUAUUUAAGAAAUGAAGAAACUGAGGCUGAGAGAGUCUAAUUGAUUGUCCCAGAAUCUUGCUCUGAGAUGCAGCCAAAUAAUUUCCUGACACCUGAUGUUCCAGGGCACCUUUGCACCGACUGUCUUCCAAGUCUAGAAUGAACUACCACCUCCACCUCACAGAAUACCACAGCUCUUCCUUCAAGAUGCAAAUCAGAAAUGAUUUGAAGUUCUAUAAAUAUGAGAAACAAGAACAACCAAGAACUUAGCUAUCCACGUGGCAAGAAAGAAAUAUAUGGCUAACCUGAACCCUUCCUUUCUUCAGUAUAAAUCAUUUCAUUUUAGAUUAUCAUCAGUACAUUUGGUCCCACAGAAGCUCUUGUACUAUAAAACUUUAAUU
This 651-nucleotide long non-coding RNA is filed under the name Monodelphis domestica (gray short-tailed opossum). RNAcentral describes it as "lncRNA (ENSMODG00000033215.2)". Lineage: Eukaryota; Metazoa; Chordata; Mammalia; Didelphimorphia; Didelphidae. The record is from RNAcentral.